UCGGUGCCACACUAUCUUGAACUGUGCUCGUGCCUGUCCAAAGGGAUUAAACCCAGGGAAACAGAUCACACACAUCAAGCAACUUCAGAAAUAAGGUUAACACAACAACACAAAUCAUGCAAUGCCCAUUGGAAUCUCAUUUAUCAAUGGGUUUUUUUUUGGAGCUAAUAAGUCUGCAAGAAACUCUGAUUUCGGAAUAAUUCUUGUAUUGCUUUUGCUAACUUACAAAUAUCAGAACAGAUGAGUUUGCUUUGCCUUUAUAUAAACAUCCCAUUUUCGAGUUUUGCUUUAUUUUACUGAAUAAAAAGAAAAACAAUGAUGACCCUAACAAUUCUACAAACAGUGUUUGAGCAGCAGAGCAGAUGAGUUUGUGUUCAUGUUUUUUAACCUUUGAUUUUAUAUUCCGUAAUAAGGCUCAAAAGUAAAGGCUGUACAAAGAUGAGAUCAAAUGACGUCACCUACAAUAUGCUAACUUGGCAGAUUCCUCCUGGUGGGACAGGACCCUCUUGGAAGCUUUUCGGGUUCUCGGCUACCUGAAUCCUUGAUCGUUUGUCUGAUGAUCAUGAUUAUGAAUCUGACGAUGAUGAUGAGGAAGAAGAAUAAAAAGGAAGUAAGGAAAUCGUGAAUAUAAAUGGUGAUGAUGGUGAAAAAAGAGAAGAUGGGUCUCAUGAUGAUGAUGAUGAUGAUGAUGGAAGGUUAGGUUUUUGUGAUGAUGAUGAUCAUGUGGAAGAAUUUGAUGAAGAGAAGAUGGUGUCUGGUUUAAGAAAUAAUGACUUAAUUACUUGCAGCCGUUUC
Molecule: long non-coding RNA, 795 nt
Filed under: Brassica napus (rape)
Lineage: Eukaryota; Viridiplantae; Streptophyta; Magnoliopsida; Brassicales; Brassicaceae
Description: long non-coding RNA (BNAP_LNC018588)
Source: RNAcentral